RNAcentral lists this ribosomal RNA (773 nucleotides) under uncultured Neocallimastigales. Its description in RNAcentral is "partial large subunit ribosomal RNA". It matches the Rfam family "Eukaryotic large subunit ribosomal RNA", at positions 22 to 642 of the family's 3401-position model. Lineage: Eukaryota; Fungi; Neocallimastigomycota; Neocallimastigomycetes; Neocallimastigales. The record is from RNAcentral.
GUACACGCUGUGACUAGCAUAUCAAUAAGCGGAGGAAAAGAAACUAACAAGGAUUCCCCUAGUAACGGCGAGUGAAGCGGGAAGAGCUCAAAUUUGAAAUCUUAAAGGGUUUCCCUUUACGAAUUGUAGUUUAAAGAAGUGUUUUCUGUUGAGGUUUUGGUAAAAGUUCUUUGGAAUAGGACAUCAUAGAGGGUGAGAAUCCCGUAUUUGACCUUUACUUUCAACUUUGUGAUACACUUUCAAAGAGUCGGAUUGUUUGGGAAUGCAGUCCAAAAUGGGUGGUAAAUUUCAUCUAAAGCUAAAUAUUGGCGAGAGACCGAUAGCGAACAAGUACCGUGAGGGAAAGAUGAAAAGAACUUUGAAAAGAGAGUUAAACAGUACGUGAAAUUGUCAAAAGGGAAGCGUUUGACACCAGUGUUGUUUUUCUGAAAAUCAAUUAAAGAACUGUUUAUGCUAAGCUGUUUAGACUUUAUCAGCUAUCUGUUUAGUUUUGAGCUUUUCUUUAAUGCACUUUUCAGUUAACAAGUCAACAUCAAUUUCUUUUGCUGUAAAAUAGCUUGAGGAAGGUGGCUUGAGAUUCGUCUUAAGUGUUUAUAGCCUCUUGCCUAUGCAGUCGGAGAGAUUGAGGUCUGCAGCGUAGAUCCUUCGGGGCUAAAUGCAUUUGUGCUAAGUUAUAGCAUUUUAUAGACAACUUGUUGACUAUGAUUUGUCUUGUAGCUUACUCGCUUAUGUUAUUUUACCUACGCUUAGGAUGUUGAAGAUGUAGCACAUCA